UCCAGUUUCAAUAAAUUAGCUAGACAUAGUUGCUGGUAACAACAUAAUAAUUAAAUAAAUAAACAUAACAUAAAUAAAGCAACGAUAGGUACUGAAAUAUGUAAAACUUGAACAAACAGUGACUGAAUUAAAAAAACAGUGAACAAAUUGUAACAAAAUAAAUAAAACAAAAUAAAUAGAACAAGAGAUUAGAACCUUAAUAAACUGGAAUUGAAAACAAUGGCACCGGAACAAGCUUGAAUGCUAAACUGCUAAACUGAAUGAAAAACAGGAAAGUAAAAUAUUUUCUAUCUGCUCUUAAAUUCUAAUAAUGAAAACGUUGAAAAAAUAAUGAGAGAUAGAUCCUCUAUUUAUAGGCUAAAAGGAGAUAUUUUUCUCCCUGC
This 383-nucleotide long non-coding RNA is filed under the name Trifolium pratense (red clover). RNAcentral describes it as "long non-coding RNA (TPRA_LNC008846)". The record is from RNAcentral. Lineage: Eukaryota; Viridiplantae; Streptophyta; Magnoliopsida; Fabales; Fabaceae.